GACGAACGCUGGCGGCGUGCUUAACACAUGCAAGUCGAACGGAAAGGCCCUGCUUUUGUGGGGUGCUCGAGUGGCGAACGGGUGAGUAACACGUGAGUAACCUGCCCUUGACUUUGGGAUAACUUCAGGAAACUGGGGCUAAUACCGGAUAGGAGCUCCUGCUGCAUGGUGGGGGUUGGAGAGUUUCGGCGGUUGGGGAUGGACUCGCGGCUUAUCAGCUUGUUGGUGGGGUAGUGGCUUACCAAGGCUUUGAUGGGUAGCCGGCCUGAGAGGGUGACCGGCCACAUUGGGACUGAGAUACGGCCCAGACUCCUACGGGAGGCAGCAGUGGGGAAUAUUGCACAAUGGGCGGAAGCCUGAUGCAGCAACGCCGCGUGCGGGAUGACGGCCUUCGGGUUGUAAACCGCUUUCGCCUGUGACGAAGCGUGAGUGACGGUAAUGGGUAAAGAAGCACCGGCUAACUACGUG
RNAcentral lists this ribosomal RNA (468 nucleotides) under uncultured bacterium. RNAcentral's name for it is "partial 16S ribosomal RNA". It matches the Rfam family "Bacterial small subunit ribosomal RNA", at positions 28 to 507 of the family's 1533-position model. The record is from RNAcentral.